RNAcentral lists this ribosomal RNA (1315 nucleotides) under unidentified marine bacterioplankton. RNAcentral's name for it is "bacterial SSU rRNA". It matches the Rfam family "Bacterial small subunit ribosomal RNA", at positions 9 to 1371 of the family's 1533-position model. The record is from RNAcentral.
GAGUUUGAUCAUGGCUCAGAACGUACGCUGGCGGCACGCCUAACACAUGCAAGUCGAACGAAGUAGCAAUACUUAGUGGCAGACGGGUGAGUAACAUGUAGGUAUCUGCCCUUUGGCCUGGAAUAACACGAGGAAACUUGUGCUAAUACCGGAUAAGUCUUUACGGAGAAAGCUUUAUGCACCAUUGGAUGAGCCUGCACUUGAUUAGUUUGUUGGUGGGGUAAUGGCCUACCAAGACUGUGAUCAAUAGCUGAUUUGAGAGGAUGAUCAGCCACAUUGGGACUGAGACACGGCCCAAACUCCUACGGGAGGCAGCAGUGGGGAAUCUUGCACAAUGGAGGAAACUCUGAUGCAGCGAUGCCGCGUGAGUGAAGAAGGCCUUUGGGUUGUAAAGCUCUUUCGUCGGGGAAGAAAAUGACUGUACCCGAAUAAGAAGGUCCGGCUAACUUCGUGCCAGCAGCCGCGGUAAUACGAAGGGACCUAGCGUAGUUCGGAAUUACUGGGCCUAAAGAGUUCGUAGGUGGUUGAAAAAGUUGGUGGUGAAAUCCCAGAGCUUAACUCUGGAACUGCCAUCAAAACUUUUCAGCUAGAGUAUGAUAGAGGAAAGCAGGAUUUCUAGUGUAGAGGUGAAAUUCGUAGAUAUUAGAAAGAAUACCAAUUGCGAAGGCAGCUUUCUGGAUCAUUACUGACACUGAGGAACGAAAGCAUGGGUAGCGAAGAGGAUUAGAUACCCUCGUAGUCCAUGCCGUAAACGAUGUGUGUUAGACGUUGGAAAUUUAUUUUCAGUGUCGCAGCGAAAGCGAUAAACACACCGCCUGGGGAGUACGACCGCAAGGUUAAAACUCAAAUGAAUUGACGGGGACCCGCACAAGUAGUGGAGCAUGUGGUUUAAUUCGAAGAUACGCGCAGAACCUUACCAACACUUGACAUGUUCGUCGCGACUCUAAGAGAUUAGAGUUUUCGGUUCGGCCGGACGAAACACAGGUGCUGCAUGGCUGUCGUCAGCUCGUGUCGUGAGAUGUUGGGUUAAGUCCCGCAACGAGCGCAACCCUCACUUUUAGUUGCCAUCAUUAAGUUGGGCACUCUGAAAGAACUGCCAGUGAUAAGCUGGAGGAAGGUGGGGAUGACGUCAAGUCCUCAUGGCCCUUACGUGUUGGGCUACACACGUGCUACAAUGGUAUCUACAACAGGAAGCAAGACUGCGAAGUUAAGCAAAUCCUUAAAAGAUACCUCAGUUCGGAUUGCACUCUGCAACUCGAGUGCAUGAAGCUGGAAUUACUAGUAAUCGUGGAUCAGCGUGCCACGGUGAAUGCGU